UACGUAGGGUGCGAGCGUUGUCCGGAAUUAUUGGGCGUAAAGGGCUCGUAGGCGGUUUGUCGCGUCGGGAGUGAAAACCUUGGGCUUAACUCAGGGCUUGCUUUCGAUACGGGCAGACUAGAGGUAUGCAGGGGAGAACGGAAUUCCUGGUGUAGCGGUGAAAUGCGCAGAUAUCAGGAGGAACACCGGUGGCGAAGGCGGUUCUCUGGGCAUGAUCUGACGCUGAGGAGCGAAAGCUAGGGGAGCAAACGGG
RNAcentral lists this ribosomal RNA (253 nucleotides) under uncultured bacterium. RNAcentral describes it as "partial 16S ribosomal RNA". It matches the Rfam family "Bacterial small subunit ribosomal RNA", at positions 524 to 776 of the family's 1533-position model. The record is from RNAcentral.